AUUGAACGCUGGCGGCAUGCCUUACACAUGCAAGUCGAACGGCAGCACGGAUGCUUGCACCUGGUGGCGAGUGGCGAACGGGUGAGUAAUACAUCGGAACAUGUCCUGUAGUGGGGGAUAGCCCGGCGAAAGCCGGAUUAAUACCGCAUACGAUCUACGGAUGAAAGCGGGGGACCUUCGGGCCUCGCGCUAUAGGGUUGGCCGAUGGCUGAUUAGCUAGUUGGUGGGGUAAAGGCCUACCAAGGCGACGAUCAGUAGCUGGUCUGAGAGGACGACCAGCCACACUGGGACUGAGACACGGCCCAGACUCCUACGGGAGGCAGCAGUGGGGAAUUUUGGACAAUGGGCGAAAGCCUGAUCCAGCAAUGCCGCGUGUGUGAAGAAGGCCUUCGGGUUGUAAAGCACUUUUGUCCGGAAAGAAAUCCUUGGCUCUAAUACAGUCGGGGGAUGACGGUACCGGAAGAAUAAGCACCGGCUAACUACGUG
This 486-nucleotide ribosomal RNA is filed under the name uncultured bacterium. RNAcentral describes it as "partial 16S ribosomal RNA". It matches the Rfam family "Bacterial small subunit ribosomal RNA", at positions 30 to 507 of the family's 1533-position model. The record is from RNAcentral.